This 440-nucleotide small RNA is filed under the name Pan troglodytes (chimpanzee). RNAcentral describes it as "processed transcript". The record is from RNAcentral. Lineage: Eukaryota; Metazoa; Chordata; Mammalia; Primates; Hominidae.
GCUAGGCAGGAAACUCCAAAUUCUGUGAUAUCUCUAACCCAAGUAGAAGGAGCACUGACCUACUUGCAGAUCACACUGGAAAGACCAACCGAUCAAUUGAAGUUUGUAACAGACCUGCACAAAGAGAAGGCUUCAUCAAUGCUGUAUUUUCCUGCUGCAUGAAAGAGUUAUACUUCUUGUUGACUGAAAAAACGUACAAGGAAGGCCUUUGGAAUACGGAAGAAAGAAAAGGACACUGAUUCUACGUAUGUACUUUAGGAGUUUGCCUCCUCGAAGAAGCUACUUGCAUAAGAGAUGCUCUUGUCACAGUCAAUAUAAGAUGGCCACAGUUUUCUCGGAUAUUGUGUACUAUUUGCUUUCCUCAUUUCUGAGUAAAUUGUAAUUAUUCAAUAUAAACAGUUCUUAGAUUUAUGCUAAAAAGGUAAACAUUUUUAAUCAUG